Non-coding RNA from Manis pentadactyla (Chinese pangolin), 865 nucleotides. Lineage: Eukaryota; Metazoa; Chordata; Mammalia; Pholidota; Manidae. The record is from the annotation of a RefSeq genome assembly.
AUGGUGCUCCAGCACCAGUUCCUCAUCUUCCUGCUGCUCUGGGCCUCAGGCAUCUCUGGGGACAUCGUGAUGAUCCAGUCUCCAGGCUCCCUGGCUGUGUCUGUAGGAGGGAGGGUUACCAUCAACUGCAAGUCCAGCCAGAGUCUUCUGCAGAGCUCCAACCAGAAGAACUACUUAGGCUGGUACCAGCAGAAACCAGGACAGGCUCCUAAACUUCUCAUCUCCUGGGCAUUCACCCGGGCAUCUGGGGUCCCUGACAGGUUCAGUGGCAGUGGGUCUGGGACAGAUUUCACUCUCACCAGCAGCAGCACACACGCUGAGGAUGUGGCAGCUUAUUACUGUAUGCAGCAUUAUAGCUAUCCUCCCACAGUGCUUCAGCCUCAAACACAAACCUCAUCUCCAGGGCGUCCCCAGGGCCACAGGCCAGUGCAUCUCUGCUGCGCCAGCUGCACCCUUCCUGCUCAGCCCUGUGUCCCCACAGCUGAAUGAGAUGCUGGUCUGGUGGCUCUAUCUUGCAACAAUAAAGAUUAGCCUGUCCUGUGUCUCUUGCACAGGGAAGUCAUUCUAGGAAGUCUCUAUAAUAACCUGUUGUGGAUCCUUCUCUCCACUGUCCCAGAUGUUUUGCAUCACGUGAAACUGUGCUGUCUCUACAGAUGAAUCUACAUUCUUGACACAGCAAUGACUUCAACUGCAUCUUGUGAAGAAGGGCUUAGUGUUCAUCACUCUGAUGGAUCAGCUGUCCCUGCUCUGUGCCUGAUGACUCUGAACUUCCCGUUUUAUUCAUUUCUCUGUCCCACAUUCUCAUGCUCAUUUCUUGGCCUUGGGAGCUUCCCAGGGUGCAAUGAUCAGUCCCUUAUUGUCAAGU